Molecule: ribosomal RNA, 452 nt
Filed under: uncultured bacterium
Lineage: Bacteria
Description: bacterial SSU rRNA
Rfam family: Bacterial small subunit ribosomal RNA
Source: RNAcentral
AGCGAACGCUGGCGGCAGGCUUAACACAUGCAAGUCGAGCGGGCGUAGCAAUACGUCAGCGGCAGACGGGUGAGUAACGCGUGGGAACGUACCUUUUGGUUCGGAACAACACAGGGAAACUUGUGCUAAUACCGGAUAAGCCCUUACGGGGAAAGAUUUAUCGCCGAAAGAUCGGCCCGCGUCUGAUUAGCUAGUUGGUGUGGUAACGGCGCACCAAGGCGACGAUCAGUAGCNGGUCUGAGAGGAUGAUCAGCCACAUUGGGACUGAGACACGGCCCAAACUCCUACGGGAGGCAGCAGUGGGGAAUAUUGGACAAUGGGCGCAAGCCUGAUCCAGCCAUGCCGCGUGAGUGAUGAAGGCCCUAGGGUUGUAAAGCUCUUUUGUGCGGGAAGAUAAUGACGGUACCGCAAGAAUAAGCCCCGGCUAACUUCGUGCCAGCCGCCGCAGUAAU